This is a small nucleolar RNA of Ziziphus jujuba (common jujube), 118 nucleotides long. RefSeq annotates it as small nucleolar RNA Z278. Lineage: Eukaryota; Viridiplantae; Streptophyta; Magnoliopsida; Rosales; Rhamnaceae. The record is from RefSeq and is a predicted model, not a curated record. The transcript has a single exon.
GCCAAUGAUGUCACAAUCCAACUUGUUUGAGGUGUAGUGGUGCCAAGUCCCUGUUUUUAUAGGGAGAACCUACUUGAUGAAAGCUACAUAACUUUGACAGAAAAAUGUAGACUGAGGA